UGCCUAAACUAGUAGAAAUACUAGCAUGGCAAAUUAAGUCCUACGAGGAUAAAAAACCCAUCAUAUGGGGUUGUCCUCGUAGGCCACAUCGGGAAACUGGUGUGAAAGACUUAGGUCUU
This 119-nucleotide small RNA is filed under the name unclassified sequences. RNAcentral's name for it is "LOOT RNA". It matches the Rfam family "LOOT RNA". Rfam says of the family: Latescibacteria, OD1/Parcubacteria, OP11, TM7. Lineage (Microgenomates, aka OP11) The record is from Rfam by way of RNAcentral.